UAGGGAAUAUUGGUCAAUGGAGGCAACUCUGAACCAGCCAUGCCGCGUGUAGGAAGAAGGCGUUCUGCGUUGUAAACUACUUUUGAUUGGGAACAAAUGACUCUUGCGAGAGUAGCUGAGUGUACCAAUAGAAUAAGCCACGGCUAACUACGUGCCAGCAGCCGCGGUAAUACGUAGGUGGCAAGCGUUGUCCGGAUUUAUUGGGUUUAAAGGGUGCGUAGGCGGCUUAAUAAGUCGGUGGUGAAAGCCGAUCGCUUAACGAUCGAACUGCCAUUGAUACUGCUAGGCUUGAGUAUAGAUGAGGUAGGCGGAAUUGACAGUGUAGCGGUGAAAUGCAUAGAUAUUGUCAAGAACACCAAUUGCGAAGGCAGCUUACUAAGUUAUAACUGACGCUGAGGCACGAAAGUGCGGGGAUCAAACAG
This 422-nucleotide ribosomal RNA is filed under the name uncultured bacterium. RNAcentral's name for it is "bacterial SSU rRNA". It matches the Rfam family "Bacterial small subunit ribosomal RNA", at positions 355 to 775 of the family's 1533-position model. The record is from RNAcentral.